GACCCUGCCCUGCCCGCUCGGAUCGCGCGGGGCCGCGGCGCGGCGGGGCCCGACGACCGUGCGGCCGCCCCGGUGCCCCGCUGGAGGCCGGGAGCGGCCGGGAUCGGGUUAUGAACCUUUCUGCAGCAAGAUUUGAAGCAGCCAGAUUCCAGUUUAAAUCCAAGUCCCUAGGACUCACUCGUGAUUUCCGGUGUUCUGAACAGGGCAGCUGGGACAGAAAUCUACUUUGGUGAAUCUGAGACACCUGGGUCUCUUUUAUUGUCAAAGAGGGAAUAUGGCCUAAUUAACCAUGCUGUUGUCAUUGUCAACACCCAUGGUACAUCUCCUGAGCCAACAAAUAGCCCUUGCAGUGGAUGUCAGUGGCUACAGAACUGGACUGCUGAGAAACUUCUUGGAGUUUCCUUUCCUUUUGCUUCCGUGGGAGCAAGAUCUUCUCAAACCACCCUUAGCUAGCAUGAACUGCUCUUCUCUAGAGUGGUGGAUCCUUAACAGGCAUGGUUGGUCUGUUCCCACUUCGUUUCAGCUGUGCUAUCCAGCUUAUCCAGUGAUACAGCUUUCUACAGCUUGGUACCUCUCAAGUACGAGCUCUACCAUACAUCUAUGUUCUUGCUGCUGCCCCCUGUAGCACAUUCCAUGUGCUUUGGUCUUCCCAUCCCUGCCUGGGCUCUCUUCUGCAGGGAGCUGCUGGUGAGUAACCUGCAUCCACUGUCCUGAUUUUGUUUUCUCUGCCAUUCAUUGAUGGGUGAAUACCUUGUGCAAGUUCCAUACCCACAUGUCUGGAAAUUGUUCUCUGUGUCUGGUUGUGAGUGAGAUCUGCAUUUUUGGUUCAUCUUCCAUUUCCUGGCUCUGAUUCUCCUCCCAUUCCUGAGCAGCAUACAUGGCUCUGCUGCACACAUGAAAAUUGUGCUGGGGCCAGGCUAGAGUGAGCCAGGAACAUCCAGCCCCCAAGUGCUUUACACUCCUCACAGGGACCUGAAGGAAAGUGGCUGGUGUCCUGCAUGUGCAAAUGCAGGUGAGUGACAAAUGAGCCUGUUGCCCAUUUUUUGGUGAAGUGAGUAAAGCAGGUAUAUGCAGACAGGCCGGGUUCUACUGAGGGACCCUCCUUUGUGCAUGUAGCUGCUCCAGUUUGUCCGCAGUGCCACAUUACUGCCUGUGGGCCUCUGCCCUCAUCCUGUAGUGAGAGAAGAUGAGCAGCUGGCAGGAAGGUAGCAAGAAUGUGCUACUUAAACAUAGGUUGCUAAUGGCUGUGUUCCCAGUCUCCAGAUGUGUGGCUGCUCUGGGAUGCUGGGGCCUCCCUCUGUGCUGUGGCAGACAAUUCCAUUAUUAGCUGAGUGGCAGCUUUCCAUAUGCCAACACUCAUGACUGCAGGACUGUUUAAUUUUCACUACUCUGAAGUAUUUAAUUUGUCAGUUGUUAGCUUCUGCUUUGUAAAGAUCAAAUGCCAGUGUCCUUACCUAGAUUUUUACUCAGUUAGAGGUGGAGCAUGGAUCCUGUAUGAACAGACCAUCAGACCUAGUCAGGGUAAGGGGCAGGAUCAGAGGCAGCAUAAGGUCUUGAAUUCAGAAAAUUAGUCACUUCUAGGCUAAUAAGUAGAAACCCCUUGUAUUCAAGGAUGGGUGUCUAAUCCUCAUUCUUCUGUUAAUUUUUAUUUGGAGAAAUGAAAAAUCAGUACUGCUAAAACUACUGCCCACUCACAUUUUGAAGCUGGACUGUGCAGAUGAGGUGUGCCUGACUAAAGAUUUUGGCCCCUCUCUAGUGUGGAGAGCUGCUGCUGUGAGCAGAUCAUCCUGCAAUUCACUGCUGGGGGCCUCUCUUUAAUUAUUGAGUGCCAGAAUAGAUGUAUAUUGAGUUACCUUGCUGGCAAAUAUAAUCUCCAGCAUCUUGUGUAACUGCAAUAUUCUCAGUUUUCCUACCUGCAUAACAUGGUCUUCUUCAAAGAAUCUAAAAGAAGACAAAAUAUGGUUUUAUAUAUUGCUUGUCUAGUAGUACAUGUUUCCAGAGAACAACAGGUUAUACUCUGGCUUUGAGGAUAGCCUUCCCUGGCAGCAUAGAUUGCUCUUAUAUACAGUCAAGCCUGCACUUGGAUGUGCAGUAGAAUGAAGCAGGAUGUGCAUGGUGCACUUUUAAACCAACCAACCAAACCAAAAAACCAACCUCCAAAAAAUUCAGAAAAAAGAGAGAGCAGCCUAAGCCAGCACAGCUUUAUGAGAGGAAAGUCCUGCUUAUCAAACCUGAUUUCCUUUUAUGACAAAGUAACCACCCUAGCUGAUCAAGGAGAACUGCUUGAUGUAAUCUUUUGAGAUUUCAGUAAAGCUGUCAAUACUGUCUCUCAUAAUAUCCUUCUGGACAAUCUGUCCAUCUCACAGCUGGAUAAACUUGUCAUGGGAUGGGUGAGCAGCUGGCUCCCGUGUCAGAUGCAAAGGGUGGCAUGAGUCUGGCACCAGUCACUCAGUGGAGUGCAGGGCUCCACCCUUGGUCCUGUGUUCUUCAGCAUCUUCAUAAAUUACUUGGAUGCAGGACUGGGUGGGAUACUAAGCAAGUUUGCAGAUUAUACAAAACUGAAAGGAGUUGUUGACUUCCUGGAAGUCAGGGAGGCCUGCAGAGAGACCUCAACAAAAUAAAGGACUAGGCAAUCACCA
Molecule: long non-coding RNA, 2639 nt
Organism: Lonchura striata (white-rumped munia)
Lineage: Eukaryota; Metazoa; Chordata; Aves; Passeriformes; Estrildidae
Source: Ensembl